Molecule: unclassified non-coding RNA, 218 nt
Filed under: soil metagenome
Description: partial contains 5.8S ribosomal RNA, internal transcribed spacer 2, and large subunit ribosomal RNA
Source: RNAcentral
AACCAUAGAAACCUGCGGAGUACCUGCGGAGGGAUCAUUACAGAGUUCAUGCCCUCACGGGUAGAUCUCCCACCCUUGAAUACUAUACCUUUGUUGCUUUGGCGGGCCGCUUUGGCUACUGGCUCUGGCUAGUAAGUGCCCGCCAAAGAACCCCAAAACUCUGAAUAUUAGUGUCGUCUGAGUACUAUAUAAUAGUUAAAACUUUUAACAACGGAUCU